UGGUUCCGGCAUNGAUGAAGAACGCAGCGAAAUGCGAUAAGUAAUGUGAAUUGCAGAAUUCAGUGAAUCAUCGAAUCUUUGAACGCACCUUGCGCCCCCUGGCAUUCCGGGGGGCAUGCCUGUCCGAGCGUCAUUUCUGCCCUCAAGCACGGCUUGUGUGUUGGGUGUCGUCCCCCCCCCCAAGGGGGCAGGACGCACCCGAAAGGCAGUGGCGGCGCCGCGUCCGGUCCUCGAGCGUAUGGGCUUUUACCCGCUCAGCGACCGGGCGUGGCCUGGCCUCGUUCUUCCUUCUUUCCAAGGUUGACCUCGGAUCAGGUAGGGAUACCCGCUGA
RNAcentral lists this unclassified non-coding RNA (332 nucleotides) under uncultured fungus. RNAcentral's name for it is "partial contains 5.8S ribosomal RNA and internal transcribed spacer 2". The stretch from base 1 to 133 matches the Rfam family "5.8S ribosomal RNA", at positions 22 to 154 of the family's 154-position model. The record is from RNAcentral. Lineage: Eukaryota; Fungi.